AUACGUAGGGGGCAAGCGUUAUCCGGAUUUACUGGGUGUAAAGGGAGCGUAGACGGUUCUGCAAGUCUGGAGUGAAAGCCCGGGGCUCAACCCCGGGACUGCUUUGGAAACUGUGGAACUGGAGUGCAGGAGAGGUAAGUGGAAUUCCUAGUGUAGCGGUGAAAUGCGUAGAUAUUAGGAGGAACACCAGUGGCGAAGGCGGCUUACUGGUCCAUUACUGACGCUGAGGUGCGAAAGCGUGGGGAGC
Molecule: ribosomal RNA, 247 nt
Filed under: uncultured bacterium
Lineage: Bacteria
Description: partial 16S ribosomal RNA
Rfam family: Bacterial small subunit ribosomal RNA
Source: RNAcentral